This 76-nucleotide transfer RNA is filed under the name Rhizobium sp. MHM7A. Its description in RNAcentral is "tRNA-Ile". It matches the Rfam family "tRNA". Rfam says of the family: Transfer RNA (tRNA) molecules are approximately 80 nucleotides in length. Their secondary structure includes four short double-helical elements and three loops (D, anti-codon, and T loops). Lineage: Bacteria; Pseudomonadati; Pseudomonadota; Alphaproteobacteria; Hyphomicrobiales; Rhizobiaceae. The record is from RNAcentral.
GCCCGGUUAGCUCAGUUGGUAGAGCAAACGCUUGAUAAGCGUUAGGCCACUGGUUCAAGUCCAGUACCAGGCACCA